RNAcentral lists this ribosomal RNA (432 nucleotides) under uncultured bacterium. RNAcentral describes it as "partial 16S ribosomal RNA". It matches the Rfam family "Bacterial small subunit ribosomal RNA", at positions 29 to 507 of the family's 1533-position model. The record is from RNAcentral.
AACGAACGCUGGCGGCAUGCCUAACACAUGCAAGUCGAACGAGACCUUCGGGUCUAGUGGCGCACGGGUGCGUAACGCGUGGGAACCUGCCCUUAGGUUCGGAAUAACUCCCCGAAAGGGGUGCUAAUACCGGAUAAUGUCUUCGGACCAAAGAUUUAUCGCCUUUGGAUGGGCCCGCGUUGGAUUAGCUAGUUGGUAGGGUAAAAGCCUACCAAGGCGACGAUCCAUAGCUGGUCUGAGAGGAUGAUCAGCCACACUGGGACUGGGACACGGCCCAGACCCCUGCGGGGGGGCGCAGGGGGGAAUUUGGGACAUGGGGCGAAUGCCGAACCCCCCAGGGCCGGGGAAUUGUUGAAGCCUUUAGGUUUUAAAGUCUUUUUUCCCCGGGAUGUUAUGACCGUAACCGGGAAAAAAGCCCCCGGCAACCCCCUG